AGUUCGAUCAUGGUUGAACGCUGGCGGGAUGCUUUACUACGCAAGUCAGAACGUUAAGGCACUUUGACCUUCGGUCUGGUGGCGAGUGGCGAACGGGUGAGUAAUGUAUCGGAAUCAGCUCAGUAGCGGAGACCACGCCAGCAAAGCGUAGCCGUAAUAUCGCAUACGCCCUCGGGGAAAGCGGGGACCUUCGCCUCGCACUAUUAGGAGCGGCCGGAUAUCGGAUUAGCUAGUUGGUGGGGUAACGGCUCACCAAGGCGACGAUCCGUAGCCGGUUUGAGAGGACGACCAGCCACACUGGGACUGAGACACGGCCCAGACUCCUACGGAGGCAGCAGUGGGGGAAUUUGGACAAUGGGGGGGGAAACCCUGAUCCAGCCAUCUCCGCGUGCGUGCGAUGAAGGUCUUCUGGGGUUGUAAAAAAGGAAUUCCUGGCGGAAAGAAACGGCACGGGAUAAUACUCCCGUGCAACUGACGGUACCGGCAGAAUAGCACCACAACUACGCCAGCAGCCGCGGUAAUACGUAGGGUGCAAGCGUUAAUCGGAAUUACUGGGCGUAGCGUGCGCAGGCGGUUCGGAAAGAAAGAUGCGGAAAUCCCAGAGCUUAACUUUGGAACUGCAUUUUUAACUACCGAGCUAGAGGUGUCAGAGGAGGUGCAAUUCCUGCGUGUAGCAGUGAAACGGCGUAGAUAUGCGGAGGAACACCGAUGGUUAGCGCAGCCUCCUGGAUAACACUGACGCUCAUGCACGAAAGCGUGGGGAGCAAACAGAUUAGAUACCCCGGUAGUCCACGCCCUAAACGAUGUCAACUAGCUGUUGGGGCCUUCGGGCCUGGUAGCGCAGCUAACGGUGAAGUUGACCGCCUGGGGAGUACGGUCGCAAGAUUAAAACUCAAAGGAAUUGGACGGGGACCCGCACAAGCGGUGGAUGAUAAAGGGAUUAAUUGAUGCAACGCGAAAAACCUUACCUACCCUUGACAUGUCUGGAAAUCCCGAAGCGAUUUGGGAGUGCUCGCAAGAGAACUGAAACAUAGAAAGCGUAUGGCUGUCGUCAGCUCGUGUCGUGAGAUGUUGGGUUAAGUCCCGCAACGAGCGCAACCCUUGUCAUUAUUGCUACGAAAGGGCACUCCCACGAGACUGCCGGUGACAAACCGGAGGAAGGUGGGGAUGACGUCAAGUCCUCAUGGCCCUUAUGGGUAGGGCUUCAACACGUCAUACACGCCGGUCGGGACAGGUCGCCAACCCGCGAGGGGGAGCCAAUCCCAGAAACCCGAUCGUAGUCCGGAUCGGUCUGCAACUCGACUGCGUGGAAGUCGGAAUCGCUAGUACUCCGAUCAGGCAUGUCGCAGAAUAUGCCGUUCCUGGCCUUGUACACACCGCCCGUCACACCAUGGAGCUCUUACCAGAAAAAGUUAGCCUAACCGUGUAAGGAGGGCGAUUACCACGGUAGGAUUCAUGAUCAGUGAAGUCGUAACAAGGUAA
Molecule: ribosomal RNA, 1482 nt
Filed under: uncultured Bordetella sp.
Lineage: Bacteria; Pseudomonadati; Pseudomonadota; Betaproteobacteria; Burkholderiales; Alcaligenaceae
Description: partial 16S-23S ribosomal RNA intergenic spacer
Rfam family: Bacterial small subunit ribosomal RNA
Source: RNAcentral